This 406-nucleotide ribosomal RNA is filed under the name uncultured bacterium. RNAcentral describes it as "partial 16S ribosomal RNA". It matches the Rfam family "Bacterial small subunit ribosomal RNA", at positions 30 to 526 of the family's 1533-position model. The record is from RNAcentral.
AUUGAACGCUGGCGGCAGGCUUAACACAUGCAAGUCGAGCGAGCGGCGGACGUGUGAGUAAUGUAUGAGAAACUGCCUGAUGGAGGGGGAUAACUACUGGAACCGGUAGCUACUACCGAUUACCAUCCGAUGGGCCCAGAUGGGAUUCGCUAGUAGGUGGGGUAAUGGCUCACCUAGGCGACGAUCCCUAGCUGGUCUGAGAGGAUGACCAGCAACACUGGAACUGAGACACGGGCCAGACUCCUACGGGAGGCAGCAGUGGGGAAUAUUGCACAAUGGGCGCAAGCCUGAUGCAGCCAUGCCGCGUGUGUGAAGAAGGCCUUCGGGUUGUAAAGCACUUUCAGCGAGGAGGCGUUACUCGCAGAAGAAGCACCGGCUAACUCCGUGCCAGCAGCCGCGGUAAUUC